Molecule: unclassified non-coding RNA, 424 nt
Filed under: uncultured fungus
Lineage: Eukaryota; Fungi
Description: partial contains 5.8S ribosomal RNA, internal transcribed spacer 2, and large subunit ribosomal RNA
Source: RNAcentral
AACGCACAUUGCACCUUUUGGUAUUCCGAAAGGUAUGCUUGUUCGAGCGUCGUUUUCAUAACCCAUAUCGAAUGAUUGAAAGAAAUUUUCAAUCGCUUGGUGUAUUGAGAUAUUUCUUCUUUCUAGUAAGAGGAAAUUCUUCAAAAUAAUUGAAUAGCGAUUUGGAAUCAAAUUUUACAUUGAACGCAUUAAAAAAAAAUUAAAAAAACAUUUUUUUACGUUCGAGCAAAAAGGUUUUAUUCCAGAGCAGCCAGAUUAAACAAAAGAUGAAAAGAAAAUGUUUUUUUCUCUCGGAGUGUAAGAAAUUAUUUUAUUAUUUAUAAUAUAUAUAUUUUUUUUGCGAGAAGAAAGAAAAAACCAUUUCCUUUUCUUCCUUCUAUACACAAUCGACCUCGAAUCAAGUAGGAUUACCCGCUGAACUUAA